This 552-nucleotide long non-coding RNA is filed under the name Homo sapiens (human). RNAcentral describes it as "novel transcript, antisense to TBX4". Lineage: Eukaryota; Metazoa; Chordata; Mammalia; Primates; Hominidae. The record is from RNAcentral.
AAGGGGAGUACCUCCCAGCCUCGCCUCCCCUGCCCACCAAUUCCCCUCUACCUAAGGCAGCAGCGCUCAGAAGCCGAGGGACAGGGACGUAGGAUGUCUGGUCUGAAUGGGGAGUUCAAAAGCCCUCUGCUGUGGCCUGAACUGCCUCAGGGAGUUCCAUUGCCUUCAAUGCAACAGAUGUCUAGGUCUUGGCAGGGUCUAGUUGGGGGACUGCUUCUGAGCCAUGCAGAACCCACUCUGGGGUGGGGUGGGGGGCCCUAAGCACUACCGUUUCCCUGCCUAGGUGGCUCCAGAAGGAGGAAGGGUCCACCCAGCGUUGGGAAAGGGCUGCCUGUGAAAGUGAGGCCCCCUCUGUCCCCUCCAUUGGCUUCCUGCCCAGGUCGAGGGGAGAAUUCAAGGCCCCUUGGGCAUCUGCCCUUGGGUUCUUGAAGGGACUAAAGUUGGUGCCUAGACGCCUGACUUGGGGGUGUUCCCCAGCGUGGCAUGCCUCAGGCGACAGAGGCCAGGGUCUCUAGGGCAGAGCCACAAUCCACACUGAAUAGGACCCCGUAA